UAGUCCACGCUGUAAACGAUGAUCACUCGAUAUUGGCGAUAAACUGUCAGUGUCUAAGCGAAAGUGAUAAGUGAUCCACCUGGGGAGUACGAUCGCAAGGUUGAAACUCAAAGGAAUUGACGGGGGCCCGCACAAGCGGUGGAGCAUGUGGUUUAAUUCGAUGAUACGCGAGGAACCUUACCAGGGCUUAAAUGCAGAACGACCGCUUGGGAAACCAGGCUUUCUUCGGACGGUUUGCAAGGUGCUGCAUGGUUAUCGUCAGCUCGUGCCGUGAGGUGUCGGGUUAAGUCCCAUAACGAGCGCAACCCCUAUCUUUAGUUGCUAACAGGUUAAGCUGAGGACUCUAGAGAAACUGCCGGCGUAAGCCGCGAGGAAGGUGGGGAUGACGUCAAAUCAUCACGGCCCUUACGUCCUGGGGCCACACACGUGCUACAAUGGUCGGUACAGAGGGGCAGCUACCCCGCGAGGGGGAUGCGAAUCUCUAAAGCCGGGUCUCAGUUC
Molecule: ribosomal RNA, 501 nt
Filed under: uncultured bacterium
Lineage: Bacteria
Description: bacterial SSU rRNA
Rfam family: Bacterial small subunit ribosomal RNA
Source: RNAcentral